GGUGGGUCUCGGAUGACGCACCCCAGAAUCAUGCUCCCUCUUCUCUGGUUCUGGGUGCAUCACCCGAGAACUGCU
Molecule: non-coding RNA, 75 nt
Organism: Myotis brandtii (Brandt's bat)
Lineage: Eukaryota; Metazoa; Chordata; Mammalia; Chiroptera; Vespertilionidae
Source: Rfam